This 607-nucleotide long non-coding RNA is filed under the name Homo sapiens (human). Its description in RNAcentral is "long non-coding RNA NONHSAT180082.1". The record is from RNAcentral. Lineage: Eukaryota; Metazoa; Chordata; Mammalia; Primates; Hominidae.
AAGACAAAUCCGAGUUCAGGCUGUGGAUUGGCUGAUCCCUCAUGAAUAUGUAGAUUACUCUCACCCUUCACCUCGCUCUGGAAAAACCAGCCACCAUGUUGUAAGGAUGCUCAAGUAGCACUAUGGAGAUUCACACGUGGCAAAGAGCUGAGGCCUCCCACCAACAGCCACAUGAGGGAGCCAGAGUAGGAGUGGCUCCUCCAGCCCCAGUCGAACCUUCAGAUGUGACAGACUUGGCUGCUGACAGUUUGCAAUCUCAUGAGACCCUGAGCCAGAACCACCCAGCUAAAUCAGUCCUGGACUCCUGAUCAACAGAAAUGGUGUAGGUGCUGGAUGGGGCCAGAUACACUUGGUCUGUGUGGAUGACAGACCAAAGAGAGGCGUUUUGAACAUUAAGACGCUUUGCUGCUUCUCACCUGAAACACGUAACAGGAACACCAACCUCUUCAGCCGCGGGAAAUCUUCUUUGACACAAAACUCAAACCGAGUCAACCCAAAGUUCCAAGUUCUUUGCUUUCUCUUCUGUGUGUGUGUUGGUUUGUCCCAAAAGUCAGUUUGCAAGUUGAAACUUCAUGAAAUUACUCGUAGCAGAAAUAAAGUACAUUGU